Molecule: ribosomal RNA, 183 nt
Filed under: uncultured bacterium
Lineage: Bacteria
Description: partial 16S ribosomal RNA
Rfam family: Bacterial small subunit ribosomal RNA
Source: RNAcentral
CAUGAAGUCGGAAUUGCUAGUAAUCGCGGAUCAGCAUGCCGCGGUGAAUACGUUCCCGGGCCUUGUACACACCGCCCGUCACACCAUGGGAGUUUGUAACGCCCAAAGUCGGUGGCCUAGCCUUUAUGGAGGGAGCCGCCUAAGGCGGGACAGAUGACUGGGGUGAAGUCGUAACAAGGUACC